This 66-nucleotide transfer RNA is filed under the name Septifer bilocularis. RNAcentral's name for it is "tRNA-Val". Lineage: Eukaryota; Metazoa; Mollusca; Bivalvia; Mytilida; Mytilidae. The record is from RNAcentral.
AGUGCGAUAGUAUAAUUUAUUACAACUUUUUUACACAAAGUUAAUCAACUUGAUGUUGUCGCACUU